This 374-nucleotide ribosomal RNA is filed under the name uncultured eukaryote. RNAcentral describes it as "partial 18S ribosomal RNA". It matches the Rfam family "Eukaryotic small subunit ribosomal RNA", at positions 592 to 976 of the family's 1831-position model. The record is from RNAcentral.
CAAGAGCGUAUGUAAAAGUUGUUGUAGUUAAAAAGCUCGUAGUUGAACCUUGGGUUUGGUUGGCCGGUCCGCUUUUUUGCGAGUACUGGAUUCAACCGAGCCUUUCCUUCUGGCUAACCAGUCGUUUCGGCGGCUGGCGAACCAGGAUUUUUACUUUGAGAAAAUUAGAGUGUUCAAAGCAGGCAUUAGCUUGAAUAUAUUAGCAUGGAAUAAUAGAAUAGGACGUUAUGGUUCUAUUUUGUUGGUUUCUAGGACCAUCGUAAUGAUUAAUAGGGACGGUCGGGGGCAUCAGUAUUCAGUUGUCAGAGGUGAAAUUCUUGGAUUUACUGAAGACUAACUACUGCGAAAGCAUUUGCCAAGGACGUUUUCAUUAA